GGAGAAGUGCAUGUCCAUAUUAGCUCCUCCUGACACCGAUUCCACCUUGUAGCCCUGAGUCUUCCUGUUCUGAUCUUUCUGGAUCAACUUGUUGUGCAGCGGAGGUCUGGUGUCCAUCGACCCCCGACCGUGCCCACCCUUCACGGUCGCCAGAUCAGGCAACACUGUCAUGGUCGCGGUCCCGUUGGCACAGUCUUCUUCUACAAGAUUUCCAGCGUUCUCUGAAGAUGUAAAGUUCAGAUGCAGAUUUUCACCAGAAAAGAAAUAUGCUGGACCAGGGAGGAUUUAUUCUGUGUUGACUGUUCCCAAACCUGCAGAGGUUACCACACCACUGGCCACAUCCCCUGCUGGCAUCAAAGACUCUACACAAGAACACUAACUUCCUCUGGUUGUCGGUGAGCGUGAUCCCCUGUGCCGACACCUUGAAGUGGACGACGGUGGAAGCAGGCGGGGGGUCCAUGGAGAGCGUCAUCGUGGUCGCCUUCUGGACCGCCUGGUGUCCCGUCAGAGAUUCCAGCUCCACAGAGCCCAG
Molecule: long non-coding RNA, 532 nt
Organism: Etheostoma cragini (Arkansas darter)
Lineage: Eukaryota; Metazoa; Chordata; Actinopteri; Perciformes; Percidae
Exons: 3
Source: RefSeq, a predicted model, not a curated record